AGCGUACACGGUGGAUGCCCUGGCAGUCAGAGGCGAUGAAGGACGUGCUAAUCUGCGAUAAGCGUCGGUAAGGUGAUAUGAACCGUUAUAACCGGCGAUUUCCGAAUGGGGAAACCCAGUGUGAUUCGUCACACUAUCAUUAACUGAAUCCAUAGGUUAAUGAGGCGAACCGGGGGAACUGAAACAUCUAAGUACCCCGAGGAAAAGAAAUCAACCGAGAUUCCCCCAGUAGCGGCGAGCGAACGGGGAGCAGCCCAGAGCCUGAAUCAGUGUGUGUGUUAGUGGAAGCGUCUGGAAAGGCGCGCGAUACAGGGUGACAGCCCCGUACACAAAAAUGCACAUGCUGUGAGCUCGAUGAGUAGGGCGGGACACGUGGUAUCCUGUCUGAAUAUGGGGGGACCAUCCUCCAAGGCUAAAUACUCCUGACUGACCGAUAGUGAACCAGUACCGUGAGGGAAAGGCGAAAAGAACCCCGGCGAGGGGAGUGAAAAAGAACCUGAAACCGUGUACGUACAAGCAGUGGGAGCACGCUUAGGCGUGUGACUGCGUACCUUUUGUAUAAUGGGUCAGCGACUUAUAUUCUGUAGCAAGGUUAACCGAAUAGGGGAGCCGAAGGGAAACCGAGUCUUAACUGGGCGUUAAGUUGCAGGGUAUAGACCCGAAACCCGGUGAUCUAGCCAUGGGCAGGUUGAAGGUUGGGUAACACUAACUGGAGGACCGAACCGACUAAUGUUGAAAAAUUAGCGGAUGACUUGUGGCUGGGGGUGAAAGGCCAAUCAAACCGGGAGAUAGCUGGUUCUCCCCGAAAGCUAUUUAGGUAGCGCCUCGUGAAUUCAUCUCCGGGGGUAGAGCACUGUUUCGGCAAGGGGGUCAUCCCGACUUACCAACCCGAUGCAAACUGCGAAUACCGGAGAAUGUUAUCACGGGAGACACACGGCGGGUGCUAACGUCCGUCGUGAAGAGGGAAACAACCCAGACCGCCAGCUAAGGUCCCAAAGUCAUGGUUAAGUGGGAAACGAUGUGGGAAGGCCCAGACAGCCAGGAUGUUGGCUUAGAAGCAGCCAUCAUUUAAAGAAAGCGUAAUAGCUCACUGGUCGAGUCGGCCUGCGCGGAAGAUGUAACGGGGCUAAACCAUGCACCGAAGCUGCGGCAGCGACACUAUGUGUUGUUGGGUAGGGGAGCGUUCUGUAAGCCUGUGAAGGUGUACUGUGAGGUAUGCUGGAGGUAUCAGAAGUGCGAAUGCUGACAUAAGUAACGAUAAAGCGGGUGAAAAGCCCGCUCGCCGGAAGACCAAGGGUUCCUGUCCAACGUUAAUCGGGGCAGGGUGAGUCGACCCCUAAGGCGAGGCCGAAAGGCGUAGUCGAUGGGAAACAGGUUAAUAUUCCUGUACUUGGUGUUACUGCGAAGGGGGGACGGAGAAGGCUAUGUUGGCCGGGCGACGGUUGUCCCGGUUUAAGCGUGUAGGCUGGUUUUCCAGGCAAAUCCGGAAAAUCAAGGCUGAGGCGUGAUGACGAGGCACUACGGUGCUGAAGCAACAAAUGCCCUGCUUCCAGGAAAAGCCUCUAAGCAUCAGGUAACAUCAAAUCGUACCCCAAACCGACACAGGUGGUCAGGUAGAGAAUACCAAGGCGCUUGAGAGAACUCGGGUGAAGGAACUAGGCAAAAUGGUGCCGUAACUUCGGGAGAAGGCACGCUGAUAUGUAGGUGAAGUCCCUCGCGGAUGGAGCUGAAAUCAGUCGAAGAUACCAGCUGGCUGCAACUGUUUAUUAAAAACACAGCACUGUGCAAACACGAAAGUGGACGUAUACGGUGUGACGCCUGCCCGGUGCCGGAAGGUUAAUUGAUGGGGUUAGCGCAAGCGAAGCUCUUGAUCGAAGCCCCGGUAAACGGCGGCCGUAACUAUAACGGUCCUAAGGUAGCGAAAUUCCUUGUCGGGUAAGUUCCGACCUGCACGAAUGGCGUAAUGAUGGCCAGGCUGUCUCCACCCGAGACUCAGUGAAAUUGAACUCGCUGUGAAGAUGCAGUGUACCCGCGGCAAGACGGAAAGACCCCGUGAACCUUUACUAUAGCUUGACACUGAACAUUGAGCCUUGAUGUGUAGGAUAGGUGGGAGGCUUUGAAGUGUGGACGCCAGUCUGCAUGGAGCCGACCUUGAAAUACCACCCUUUAAUGUUUGAUGUUCUAACGUUGACCCGUGAUCCGGGUUGCGGACAGUGUCUGGUGGGUAGUUUGACUGGGGCGGUCUCCUCCUAAAGAGUAACGGAGGAGCACGAAGGUUGGCUAAUCCUGGUCGGACAUCAGGAGGUUAGUGCAAUGGCAUAAGCCAGCUUGACUGCGAGCGUGACGGCGCGAGCAGGUGCGAAAGCAGGUCAUAGUGAUCCGGUGGUUCUGAAUGGAAGGGCCAUCGCUCAACGGAUAAAAGGUACUCCGGGGAUAACAGGCUGAUACCGCCCAAGAGUUCAUAUCGACGGCGGUGUUUGGCACCUCGAUGUCGGCUCAUCACAUCCUGGGGCUGAAGUAGGUCCCAAGGGUAUGGCUGUUCGCCAUUUAAAGUGGUACGCGAGCUGGGUUUAGAACGUCGUGAGACAGUUCGGUCCCUAUCUGCCGUGGGCGCUGGAGAACUGAGGGGGGCUGCUCCUAGUACGAGAGGACCGGAGUGGACGCAUCACUGGUGUUCGGGUUGUCAUGCCAAUGGCACUGCCCGGUAGCUAAAUGCGGAAGAGAUAAGUGCUGAAAGCAUCUAAGCACGAAACUUGCCCCGAGAUGAGUUCU
This 2772-nucleotide ribosomal RNA is filed under the name Escherichia coli. RNAcentral's name for it is "bacterial LSU rRNA". It matches the Rfam family "Bacterial large subunit ribosomal RNA". Lineage: Bacteria; Pseudomonadati; Pseudomonadota; Gammaproteobacteria; Enterobacterales; Enterobacteriaceae. The record is from RNAcentral.